This 414-nucleotide unclassified non-coding RNA is filed under the name Hevea brasiliensis (rubber tree). The record is from RNAcentral. Lineage: Eukaryota; Viridiplantae; Streptophyta; Magnoliopsida; Malpighiales; Euphorbiaceae.
UGCCUAGUUCAGCUGCUUCAAGAGAGGUAAACUCGAUUCCCUUACAUUCAUUUGUUGUUCUAUUUAUUAGGCUUUGUACAUGUCCUCUUUCGCAUAAGUUUUAGCCUUGUGAUUCUUGUUUUAUUCUCUUGAAUUAUGGUAAGUCUUCUAAGCAUUUUGUAUAACCAAAUUUUCCCACUCGUAUGGGGCUGGAAAGAUUUAUGAUUGCUCAUUUCUAUUCUUGCCUUGGCUUUGGUUAGUUGGGUUCGAUACUAAGAUUCAAUAUAGUUUCCUCUUACAUAGUCAAUCUAUUGAGUUCUUUUCUUUACUGUUUGGAUGAAUUAAUUAGUAUUUAUGCUUUCAAUACCAUUGAUAGGAGAUUUUGGGUUAGUUUAGGUCAAUAUAGGUUAGUGAAUUGAUUUUGUUAAGCUUGUG